GGAACCCACAGGCUGUCCGGCACAACCGCUGGAAGCCAACUCCGCUCACACGAGCGCGCGCAGGCUUUCAGAUCAGCUCCAAACAGCAGAUCUUUACAUCCAUGUUCAUCUGUCAGUGAGUCAGAGGAUGUCUGAUCGUGAGGAUCCGUUCAGGUUAUCCGAUGUCUGGUGCGCGCAGGGAGGGAAAAGUGUGAGGACGUCUCAACCCUCCACCGGGCGGGCAGCAUGGAGCUGUGUUCCUCUGUCUGCGCCACCCCAACAGCUCUCCAGUGUAACAGGAAAGAAGAAUUUCAAAGGGGACAUUGCAAUCUCGUAAUAAUUUCAAAUAUUGUAAAAAUAUAUUUUGUUUGGGUGUUUUUUUUUUUUUACUAAACACAAGUAUAAUUAAUUACAUGAUUAUUACAUUAAUUAUACAAUUACUAUCCAAUAAUUAACAUUAUUAUUUUUUAAGGGUAUGUCUAAUGUUAUUAACAAGGCACUUUCCCCUUUGUGGGAUCAAUAAAGUUCUAAUCUGUUUUGCUUUAUCUCUUUAAUUUGUCAAUCACCCGUAUAGAAGGCCUAUUGAAACUGCAUUUAAUUUUUGACCUUAACUUUUGACUCAAUUACUUUUCUUUCUUUUCAUAAAAAAAAAAAAAAA
This is a long non-coding RNA of Oryzias melastigma (Indian medaka), 637 nucleotides long. RefSeq lists it as uncharacterized. The transcript has 2 exons. NCBI's taxonomy places the organism in Eukaryota, Metazoa, Chordata, Actinopteri, Beloniformes, Adrianichthyidae. The record is from RefSeq and is a predicted model, not a curated record.